CCUACGGGGGGCAGCAGUAGGGAAUAUUGCUCAAUGGGGGAAACCCUGAAGCAGCAACGCCGCGUGGAGGAUGAAGGUUUUCGGAUUGUAAACUCCUUUUGUUAGAGAAGAUAAUGACGGUAUCUAACGAAUAAGCACCGGCUAACUCCGUGCCAGCAGCCGCGGUAAUACGGAGGGUGCAAGCGUUACUCGGAAUCACUGGGCGUAAAGAGCGCGUAGGCGGGAUAGCAAGUCAGAUGGGAAAUCCUAUGGCUUAACCAUAGAACUGCAAUUGAAACUGUUAUUCUAGAGUAUGGGAGAGGUAGGUGGAAUUCUUGGUGUAGGGGUGAAAUGCGUAGAGAUCAGGAGGAAUACUGAUGGCGAAGGCGGCUUGCUAGAACAUAACUGACGCUGAUGCGCGAAAGCGUGGGGAGCAAACAGGAUUAGAUACCCUAGUAGUC
RNAcentral lists this ribosomal RNA (440 nucleotides) under uncultured bacterium. RNAcentral describes it as "partial 16S ribosomal RNA". It matches the Rfam family "Bacterial small subunit ribosomal RNA", at positions 338 to 795 of the family's 1533-position model. The record is from RNAcentral.